GGUUAUGGCUCAGUGGUAGAGUGGUCGUCUAGCACAUGCAAGGUACUGGGUUUGAUCCUCAGCACCA
RNAcentral lists this transfer RNA (67 nucleotides) under Marmota monax (woodchuck). RNAcentral describes it as "tRNA.Ala". The record is from RNAcentral. Lineage: Eukaryota; Metazoa; Chordata; Mammalia; Rodentia; Sciuridae.